AUUGUUUCUCAGCCUUUUGGCUAAGAUCAAGUGUAGUGUCUGUUCUUAUCAGUUUAAUAUCUUAUAUUUCCACUAUCUAAGUAUAAUAUAUUAAAUGUAUUUUGGGACAGUGAGAUGGAAUAAGAGCUGCUUCAUCCACUCCCUGCUUUGACCCGGUUUUACAGUAUUUCCAGGAACAGUGCACCAGAA
RNAcentral lists this small nuclear RNA (189 nucleotides) under Myotis davidii. RNAcentral's name for it is "U2 spliceosomal RNA". It matches the Rfam family "U2 spliceosomal RNA". Rfam says of the family: U2 is a small nuclear RNA (snRNA) component of the spliceosome (involved in pre-mRNA splicing). Complementary binding between U2 snRNA (in an area lying towards the 5' end but 3' to hairpin I) and the branchpoint sequence (BPS) of the intron results the bulging out of an unpaired adenosine, on the BPS, which initiates a nucleophilic attack at the intronic 5' splice site, thus starting the first of two transesterification reactions that mediate splicing. Lineage: Eukaryota; Metazoa; Chordata; Mammalia; Chiroptera; Vespertilionidae. The record is from Rfam by way of RNAcentral.